CGUAGCCGCGGUAAUACGGAGGGAGCUAGCGUUGUUCGGAAUUACUGGGCGUAAAGCGCGCGUAGGCGGUUACUCAAGUCAGAGGUGAAAGCCCGGGGCUCAACCCCGGAACUGCCUUUGAAACUAGGUGACUAGAAUCUUGGAGAGGUCAGUGGAAUUCCGAGUGUAGAGGUGAAAUUCGUAGAUAUUCGGAAGAACACCAGUGGCGAAGGCGACUGACUGGACAAGUAUUGACGCUGAGGUGCGAAAGCGUGGGGAGCAAACAGGAUUAGAUACCCCCGUAGUCCCUGUCUCUUAUACA
This 301-nucleotide ribosomal RNA is filed under the name uncultured bacterium. RNAcentral's name for it is "partial 16S ribosomal RNA". It matches the Rfam family "Bacterial small subunit ribosomal RNA", at positions 510 to 808 of the family's 1533-position model. The record is from RNAcentral.